RNAcentral lists this ribosomal RNA (254 nucleotides) under uncultured bacterium. RNAcentral's name for it is "partial 16S ribosomal RNA". It matches the Rfam family "Bacterial small subunit ribosomal RNA", at positions 524 to 776 of the family's 1533-position model. The record is from RNAcentral.
UACGGAGGGUGCAAGCGUUGUCCGGAUUUAUUGGGCUUAAAGGGUGCGUAGGCGGUUAACUAAGUCAGUGGUGAAAGGCAGCAGCUUAACUGUUAGCACUGCCAUUGAUACUGGUUGACUUGAGUACAGACGAGGUAGGCGGAAUUUAUGGUGUAGCGGUGAAAUGCAUAGAUACCAUAAAGAACACCGAUUGCGAAGGCAGCUUACUAGACUGUAACUGACGCUGAGGCACGAAAGCGUGGGGAGCGAACAGG